GUUUGUGAUGUACCGGAUUUUGAGCAAUAUGUUGCGAACUGAUGUUGUCGUCAUAGAUGGUUAAAGGCUCUGUAACAGUUGACCAACCAAUCUCGUCGAGAAGUCUUCGUAAAUAAAUAGCCUCUUUAGCAGCCAUAGAUAGUGCUAUGUAUUCAGCUUCAGUGCUGCUCAACGCGACAACACUUUGCUUAGUUGAAGUCCAAGAAAAAGCACUGCCUGCUAGGAAGAAUGCGUAUCCACUAUAAGAUCUUCUAUCGAGCCUGUCAUUGGCCCAGUCAGCAUCAGCGAAACCUCUUACUGGUUCACCACACUUGCGCCGUCUCGUGUUCUGCAUGGGGAUCAGUAUUUCGUUGCGACAGUUUGCUUACUGCGUGCAAAAUGUCCGGUCGGCUCAAGACUGCUAAAUACAUAAGGGAACCAAUUAAUGACUGAUAUUGUGUUACAUUUACCUUGACACAAUUAUCAUCAAUGCAGCCAACUUGAUAGCCCGGGUUGAGCGGUGUGCUGACUGGACGGCACUUGCUCAUGCCAUACGUGUCCAAUAGUCCUUGAAUAUGCGAUUUCUGGCAAAACGAAAUCGAACCCUGUUCACCGUCUCGCUCAAUUUCCAUUCCUAGGAAAAAGUUUAUGGGGCCGCCAUCGUGCAUCUUGAAGUUUGAUGCGAUCUUCUUCUUAAUUACGGCUAUGUCAUUUUUGUUUGGACAUGCGAUAAUUAAAUCGUCGACGUAGACUGCAA
Long non-coding RNA from Drosophila pseudoobscura, 736 nucleotides. RefSeq lists it as uncharacterized. NCBI's taxonomy places the organism in Eukaryota, Metazoa, Arthropoda, Insecta, Diptera, Drosophilidae. The record is from RefSeq and is a predicted model, not a curated record. The transcript is spliced from 2 exons.